Molecule: ribosomal RNA, 160 nt
Filed under: uncultured bacterium
Lineage: Bacteria
Description: partial 16S ribosomal RNA
Rfam family: Bacterial small subunit ribosomal RNA
Source: RNAcentral
UAAGGAAUAUUGAGCCUCAAUGGACGCAAGUCUGAACCAGCCAUGCCGACGUGGAGGAUGAAGGUCCUCUGGAUUGUAAACUUCUUUUAUAUGGGACGAAAAAAGGCUUUUCUAAGUCGUCUGACGGUACCAUAUGAAUAAGCACCGGCUAACUCCGUGC